Molecule: transfer RNA, 74 nt
Filed under: Ferrimonas marina
Lineage: Bacteria; Pseudomonadati; Pseudomonadota; Gammaproteobacteria; Alteromonadales; Ferrimonadaceae
Also listed under: 1 other name
Rfam family: tRNA
About the family: Transfer RNA (tRNA) molecules are approximately 80 nucleotides in length. Their secondary structure includes four short double-helical elements and three loops (D, anti-codon, and T loops). Further hydrogen bonds mediate the characteristic L-shaped molecular structure. tRNAs have two regions of fundamental functional importance: the anti-codon, which is responsible for specific mRNA codon recognition, and the 3' end, to which the tRNAs corresponding amino acid is attached (by aminoacyl-tRNA synthetases). tRNAs cope with the degeneracy of the genetic code in two manners: having more than one tRNA (with a specific anti-codon) for a particular amino acid; and 'wobble' base-pairing, i.e. permitting non-standard base-pairing at the 3rd anti-codon position.
Source: Rfam by way of RNAcentral
GGCUAUGUAGCUCAGCUGGUUAGAGCACGGCACUCAUAAUGCCGGGGUCGCAGGUUCAAGUCCCGCCAUAGCCA